Long non-coding RNA from Pteronotus mesoamericanus, 284 nucleotides. RefSeq lists it as uncharacterized. The transcript has 2 exons. NCBI's taxonomy places the organism in Eukaryota, Metazoa, Chordata, Mammalia, Chiroptera, Mormoopidae. The record is from RefSeq and is a predicted model, not a curated record.
GGAGGGGGAUCUCUUCAAGCAGGGCUGGUGGGAAUCCCGAGCAGGCUUCCUUGUGAAUUCACACGGAAAUGAGGCCAGCAGCAGCCUGCCACCUUCUGCCAGGAAGGAGAGCAACGUCUGCAACUGAAGCAGAGCAAAGUCAUAUUCAGAAAACAAUGAGAAGGAGCCAUUAAGAUAAACCAAAAGGAACACAAGUCAAUAAAUCAACUGUGUGUGGCUCUGAAGAAGAGACCGAGAACCCCAAGGUGACAGAAGCAUUAAACAUCACGAUUAAUCUGGGAAAA